CACCAGCAUGACGUCGAAGCCAAAACAAAUCCGGUUAAAUAAAGGAAAAGUCCAAACAUUUUAACGGAGGCAUAGCUGUCUUGGUUCCAACGCAAUCGGCAUGUUACUAGUGGUCUAGUGGGGAGGUGUGAAAAMGAUUUAGCUCAAAAUUAAGGUAUCCAUACAGUCUAUAAAGUGUUGGUUUGAAUGUUUAAUAUUUUGUCAUUGAAAUAGAAAUGUUGGUAUGGGGACGUCAUCUGCAGCCGGCAGAAUUGGUUCAAUUUCAUCUCCAUUUAUAGUUUCACUCGUUCGAAUCCAUGUUCUGAUCCCGUAUUCUAUCUUUGCUAUCGCUACGUUCAUCGUCUGUGUACUGUGUCUUACCUUAGCAGAGACAAACAACGAACCAACUAAAGAAACGCUUGAGCMACAGAAGACACUCAAGAACAAUAUUAAUGGAUUUGUAACCGAUGGUACAAGCGAUACGUUACUUUGAAGAUACAUGUAUAAASUUGUUUCCCKAAACGGUAAUAAGUUUCGUUAGCAGAUCUAUAAUUUUUGWCGCCCCUUGUGGUCUUCUAUCUAUCACAUUUAUGYUUACCAUUGGGCUCAUAGUUGUGUUUUACGGAUUGCUUAUUCAUCAUAAAUUGAAUGACAYCGAAGACAGCCAAAGUAAUUGAAGCACGCGGGCCAAAUGAAAUGUAAUCUUGUAGUCUUCUAACCCUCAUAGUCUAAUUGUUAACUUAACAGACAAUAAAAAAAUAGGGCAGGCAUUAAUUAAUUACUCAAUUGUAUCUCAGUAAAGAUAGCUAAUGCCAGCGAUAGUUUUUACUUACAGUAAAACGUCCAUAAUSUUUUAUCGUCCAGUAAGGCGGAURACUUUUUUCUCAAUUUUCAAAUCCUAUACGUCUUAUGAUAAAAYAUGACACGUAAUGUCACGUGAUUUCCGUUUGCUUGACCAUGAUAGGCACUCCGAUAUCUAUGAAAAUAACUUAAUCUAUUCAAAAUAUAGUCAACUGGCGUUCUUUUCGCCCAGUUGAUGACAUCACARCUUCACAUACGCURUCGAACUUUGAGUCAAGGGUYUCUUGUCAGUGCCGCAUCUUUAAACUUAAUAUGUAUUAUAAUCUGGACAAUCUCCCCAUUCAUUAAAGACUGGUCGCUUUAAAAAAUCAGUGUACAAGACUAGUCCAUGUUUAAAAGAAUCUGAAACUGAAACUGUUUUAUUGCUCUUUUUUUGCUUUUAACUUGACAGAAAAAAAGGUGCUUGUAAUAAAAAGAUAAAUAGGUAUAGAGAAUCCUCCUUACGUAAGCACAUAUUAAAUACACUUCAUUUUUUA
Long non-coding RNA from Exaiptasia diaphana, 1316 nucleotides. RefSeq lists it as uncharacterized. NCBI's taxonomy places the organism in Eukaryota, Metazoa, Cnidaria, Anthozoa, Actiniaria, Aiptasiidae. The record is from RefSeq and is a predicted model, not a curated record. The transcript is spliced from 2 exons.